Molecule: long non-coding RNA, 1172 nt
Filed under: Homo sapiens (human)
Lineage: Eukaryota; Metazoa; Chordata; Mammalia; Primates; Hominidae
Description: long non-coding RNA NONHSAT211949
Source: RNAcentral
GAGAAGGUGAGAGCUGGGGGAAAAUUGAGAGGUGGCCAGAAAGAGAGGCUUUGGUCAUUUCCAGAGUCAUGGAGUUGCAGAGAACUAGCUUUAGGCAUUGCAUGUAAUUUAAUGUUCUUCAAUGUCCUGUAGCCUAAGACCACCUGGAACACACCUGUAGUCAACAAAGUUAGGCUGAUUAACGCCACAGCAAGGGAAACUGCACGCUGUGGGGAAGCUUGAGGCAUCUCAAAAGGGUGGAUUAAGACAAGGGCACCCAAUAAAGCUUUGGGGGCUGGAGUUAGUCACAGGAUGGUGUUGGCAGGAUUUCAUCAGAUUCUGUAAACUGGGGAGUUUCUGGAAAAGUAAGUGGUCUUAUCUUUGGGAUUCACAAGUCUGUGUGGAGUUACUGACAGGUCAAUUUCUCUAUGGUCUUAUCUGGGAACAAAUGGGCCUGAAAGAGCUGGUGUUUCAAGGUUUGAACUUAGAUCGUCUGUGAUGCCCACCACGGUGUGGUCGGGAGAAAUUGGCCUGCUUCGAAACUGAGGCUUAUGUUUUGAAAAUUGUGGUUUCUGUUUUCAUUCUCGGUCCCUGUCAUCUCUCUGCCAACAUGAACCCCAGUCUGCCAGUCUACCUUUUUCAUUUACUCACUAUUUUUCUAUCCCAUCGUUAUGGUUAUUCUACUGACAUGCUACAUGUAACAUAAAGAGCCCUACAGCUGCAUAACCUCCUGAGAGAGGGCUUCUUUAGUUUGCAAUGGAGAACUGGAGAUGGUGCUCAUUCACAGAUAUCUAACACUCGGUAAGUCAUCUUGUUUGACCACUCCCUCCUCACAGGUCUGUGCCUUAACUGUGCAUGUGAAAUAUUAUAUAUCUUAGAUUUAAGAAACAAUUUGGCUCAACAAAUGACAGUAUCAGGGAGCUAUUAUGAGUUCUAAGAACUACUGUCCUCCUGCUAUAGGUCCAGACAAGACUUUAGCAUGGCAGGCUGCCUCCUAGGGCUGGGUAGUCAAGAAGGGCUGAUAGUGGGUGAGCUAGUCAAGAAGCGCAGCAAAAUGAUGGUGAAAUACCACUUCAUACUUACUAGGAUGGCUACUAUUAAAAAAGAACACACACACAGAAAAUAACAGAUGUGGGCAAGCAUGUGGAGAGAUUGGAACCCUUGGACACUGUUGGUGGGAAUGUAAAAUGGUG